RNAcentral lists this long non-coding RNA (238 nucleotides) under Nicotiana benthamiana. RNAcentral describes it as "long non-coding RNA (NBEN_LNC017172)". Lineage: Eukaryota; Viridiplantae; Streptophyta; Magnoliopsida; Solanales; Solanaceae. The record is from RNAcentral.
ACAGAGUUUCAAAUCUGAGGGGGAUAAAGGAGAGGGGUAAAGGGUGAUAGGGAGACAUUAAUUAAUAACACAUAUGGUUAAUAACUACAUACAAAGGGGGUCAUGGGGUUGGGAAUCCAUUGCAAGGAGCCCAUGCACUUAGUCCUCGAUUAGAUUUGGGCAUGCACAGCAAUAGAAAGUGCAAACAUGCUUAUAAACCAACCAGAAUACAUAACAUCUAGAGGAAAAAUGGAGGUUA